RNAcentral lists this long non-coding RNA (363 nucleotides) under Meleagris gallopavo (turkey). RNAcentral describes it as "lncRNA (ENSMGAG00000020662.1)". The record is from RNAcentral. Lineage: Eukaryota; Metazoa; Chordata; Aves; Galliformes; Phasianidae.
AUGAGAUUUUCUUCCCUGCUUACGCUGUGCCUAAGAAACAAGUUUUUGGCUGGAAAUGCUGACUGCUCUCACAAACUAAUACUACUUCUGCUUUUUCACUGGUUGACUGCUGAGGUCCCUAGGAGGGAACGGAGUGAUGCUGUAAGUGCAGGCGUUGUGCCUGCUGAUCCCUGCUCACCCCAGCAUGACUGGAUUUUCCUGUCUCUUACACAAGGAAGACGAGCAGUAGACCAACUAAUCCCUGUAGGUCCCGAUCACUGUGGAGAAGGCGUUGUAGGUACUACAACUACAGCACAAAGCCCUUGGCUUGCCAUGUUGGGGAUUUACUGCUGGGAGAUGAUUAACAUUCCUGAGAAGCAGUGA